GGUGGCUCAGUGGUAGAGCGCUUGCCUCCCUUGCAUGAGGCCCUGGGUUCCAAUCCUCAGCACCA
Molecule: transfer RNA, 65 nt
Filed under: Dipodomys ordii (Ord's kangaroo rat)
Lineage: Eukaryota; Metazoa; Chordata; Mammalia; Rodentia; Heteromyidae
Rfam family: tRNA
About the family: Transfer RNA (tRNA) molecules are approximately 80 nucleotides in length. Their secondary structure includes four short double-helical elements and three loops (D, anti-codon, and T loops). Further hydrogen bonds mediate the characteristic L-shaped molecular structure. tRNAs have two regions of fundamental functional importance: the anti-codon, which is responsible for specific mRNA codon recognition, and the 3' end, to which the tRNAs corresponding amino acid is attached (by aminoacyl-tRNA synthetases). tRNAs cope with the degeneracy of the genetic code in two manners: having more than one tRNA (with a specific anti-codon) for a particular amino acid; and 'wobble' base-pairing, i.e. permitting non-standard base-pairing at the 3rd anti-codon position.
Source: Rfam by way of RNAcentral